Molecule: unclassified non-coding RNA, 117 nt
Filed under: uncultured fungus
Lineage: Eukaryota; Fungi
Description: sequence contains ITS1
Source: RNAcentral
GUGAAACGGACUGAAAAGUCUUGGAUCUAUUCCAAACCUCUUUAUGUGAACUGUGGCCUUUGGGCCUAAUUUAUCAAAACAUUAUCAGUCUAGAACGUAUUAUACCAAAACUAAACA